UCUGGAGUUGGCCUGUGCAAGUGUACGAAACCGACAAACCGUGUCCCCGCGGACUUCCGGGGUUUAGUCAGCCUUCAAGUGGGCCAAUCUCCUGGGCCGGACCGCACCCGCCAAUUACAACGGGCGGGAUGCGCCGCGCGCGCGUGUCCGUCCGUCCGUCCAGGAGCAGCCCAGCCAGCAACAGCACGGCAGAAACAACCUGUACAGUACAGCCCAGCAGCAGCAAGGCGUACGGCGCGAUCCGGCGGC
This 249-nucleotide long non-coding RNA is filed under the name Setaria viridis. Its description in RNAcentral is "long non-coding RNA (SVIR_LNC002841)". The record is from RNAcentral. Lineage: Eukaryota; Viridiplantae; Streptophyta; Magnoliopsida; Poales; Poaceae.